GGCCGCUGCUAUCUGGCUGGGACUAAGCCAUGCUAGUCCAGGGGUCAGUUCUCCUUGUGAGAACUGGCACCGGUGGACGGCUCAGUAACACGUGGACAACCUACCCUCGGGUGGGGGAUAACCCCGGGAAACUGGGGCUAAUACCCCAUAGGCCAUGGAGACUGGAAUGUCCCAUGGCCGAAAGCUCCGGCGCCCGAGGAUGGGUCUGCGGCGGAUUAGGUAGUUGGUGGGGUAACGGCCCACCAAGCCUAAGGUCCGUACGGGCUGUGAGAGCAGGAGCCCAGAGAUGGACACUGAGACAAGGGUCCAGGCCUACGGGGCGCAGCAGGCGCGAAACCUCCGCAAUGCGGGAAACCGCGACGGGGCUAGCCAGAGUGCCCGUGCAUAGCGCGGGCUGUCCGGGUGCCUAAAAAGCACCCGAUAGCAAGGGAUGGGCAAGGCCGGUGGCAGCCGCCGCGGUAAUACCGGCGUCCCGAGUGGCGGCCACUAUUAUUGGGCCUAAAGCGUCCGUAGCCGGCCCAGUAAGUCCCCCGGGAAAUCUGGUCGCUCAACGAUCAGACUUCCGGGGGAUACUGCUGGGCUAGGGACCGGGAGAGGCCGAGGGUAUUCCCGGGGUAGGGGUGAAAUCCUGUAAUCCCGGGAGGACCACCUGUGGCGAAGGCGCCCGGCUGGAACGGGUCCGACGGUGAGGGACGAAGGCCAGGGGAGCGAACCGGAUUAGAUACCCGGGUAGUCCUGGCUGUAAAGGAUACGGGCUAGGUGUCGGGCGAGCUUCGGGCUCGCCCGGUGCCGAAGGGAAGCCGUUAAGCCCGCCGCCUGGGGAGUACGGCCGCAAGGCUGAAACUUAAAGGAAUUGGCGGGGGAGCACUACAAGGGGUGGAGCGUGCGGUUU
RNAcentral lists this ribosomal RNA (892 nucleotides) under uncultured euryarchaeote. RNAcentral's name for it is "bacterial SSU rRNA". It matches the Rfam family "Archaeal small subunit ribosomal RNA", at positions 21 to 903 of the family's 1478-position model. The record is from RNAcentral. Lineage: Archaea; Methanobacteriati; Methanobacteriota.